GAUGAACGCUGGCGGCGUGCCUAAUACAUGCCAGUCGAGCGAACAGACGAGGAGCUUGCUCCUCUGACGUUAGCGGCGGACGGGUGAGUAACACGUGGAUAACCUACCUAUAAGACUGGGAUAACUUCGGGAAACCGGAGCUAAUACCGGAUAAUAUAUUGAACCGCAUGGUUCAAUAGUGAAAGACGGUUUUGCUGUCACUUAUAGAUGGAUCCGCGCCGCAUUAGCUAGUUGGUAAGGUAACGGCUUACCAAGGCAACGAUGCGUAGCCGACCUGAGAGGGUGAUCGGCCACACUGGAACUGAGACACGGUCCAGACUCCUACGGGAGGCAGCAGUAGGGAAUCUUCCGCAAUGGGGGAAAGCCUGACGGAGCAACGCCGCGUGAGUGAUGAAGGUCUUCGGAUCGUAAAACUCUGUUAUUAGGGAAGAACAAAUGUGUAAGUAACUAUGCACGUCUUGACGGUACCUAAUCAGAAAGCCACGGCUAACUACGUG
Molecule: ribosomal RNA, 497 nt
Filed under: uncultured bacterium
Lineage: Bacteria
Description: partial 16S ribosomal RNA
Rfam family: Bacterial small subunit ribosomal RNA
Source: RNAcentral